GUGCCAGCAGCCGCGGUAAUACGAAGGAUGCGAGCGUUAUCCGGAUUUAUUGGGUUUAAAGGGUGCGUAGGCGGCCUUAUAAGUCAGUGGUGAAAUCCUAUCGCUUAACGAUAGACGUGCCAUUGAUACUGUAGGGCUUGAGUACAGAUGCCGUUGGCGGAAUGUGUCAUGUAGCGGUGAAAUGCAUAGAUAUGACACAGAACACCGAUUGCGAAGGCAGCUGACGAAACUGUAACUGACGCUGAUGCACGAAAGCGUGGGGAUCAAACAGGAUUAGAUACCCCCGUAGUCC
RNAcentral lists this ribosomal RNA (292 nucleotides) under uncultured bacterium. RNAcentral describes it as "partial 16S ribosomal RNA". It matches the Rfam family "Bacterial small subunit ribosomal RNA", at positions 505 to 796 of the family's 1533-position model. The record is from RNAcentral.